AAGUCGUAACAAGGUUUCCGUAGGUGAACCUGCGGAAGGAUCAUUAUCACAAAUGAUUUUUAAGGUCUCUCUUAAUCCAGAGCCUUAAACCUCUUCUAAACCAAUCUAAUAAAAUGUGAAACUGUUUCAUUUUGUUUUUUUUUCUUGAUGAUGAUUGGCUCUCUGAGCCUUUCAGAAACAAAAAAAAAAAAAACAAUCUUUCUUUUAACCAAUUGAACCCUUUUCUAAUUUAUUGUUAUUUUAUUUCUAUUCUAGUUCUGAAAUCUUAUUAUAUAUCAAUAUGUAAUAAUAUUGACAUGUAAUAAGUUACAUUACGAAACAAUAUUAAAUAAAACAACUCUUAGCAACGGAUAUCUUGGUUCUC
Molecule: unclassified non-coding RNA, 364 nt
Filed under: fungal sp.
Lineage: Eukaryota; Fungi
Description: partial internal transcribed spacer region
Rfam family: Eukaryotic small subunit ribosomal RNA (bases 1-46)
Source: RNAcentral